AACGAACGCUGGCGGCAGGCCUAACACAUGCAAGUCGAGCGCGCCCUUCGGGGUGAGCGGCGGACGGGUUAGUAACGCGUGGGAACGUGCCCAGAUCUAAGGAAUAGCCACUGGAAACGGUGAGUAAUACCUUAUACGCCCUUCGGGGGAAAGAUUUAUCGGAUUUGGAUCGGCCCGCGUUAGAUUAGGUAGUUGGUGGGGUAAUGGCCUACCAAGCCUACGAUCUAUAGCUGGUUUUAGAGGAUGAUCAGCAACACUGGGACUGAGACACGGCCCAGACUCCUACGGGAGGCAGCAGUGGGGAAUCUUGGACAAUGGGGGGCAACCCCUGAUCCAGCCAUGCCGCGUGAGUGAUGAAGGCCUUAGGGCCUAAAGCUUCUUUCGCCUGUGAUGAUAAUGACAGUAGCAGGUAAAGAAACCCCGGCUAACUCCGU
Molecule: ribosomal RNA, 434 nt
Filed under: uncultured bacterium
Lineage: Bacteria
Description: bacterial SSU rRNA
Rfam family: Bacterial small subunit ribosomal RNA
Source: RNAcentral